GGACCCAGAGUGGCUGGCACUGAAGAAGUUACGCCAUGCCAAGCGUUCAGCGGCUCACAUCACUGAGGCAAGCUGGAACUUGAUGAUGAGGCAUGCCUGCAGUUUCAUACUGAAGAAACCUGCUCGCAUGACCUGGCUCGUCUACUGACGCAACUAGCAGCCAAGAAGUUGGAGACGCCAAGAGCGCACAGAAAGGGUUUGAGCAUUCGCACAAACCAGUAUGACCACACGGGCACUUUUGAUUGCAAUCAGCCAGGGCGUAUGCGCCGAACUCGAUCCAGCACAGCAGCAACAGACCUGUCGAUCUCGAUCAAAAGUAUUUGAGUGACACCUGUAUAAGUCGCCGCUAACUGCCUAAACUAAUCAGAUCAAAUACGGUGCAGGCGUCAUCUAACUGCGAUAUAAAAGGGUACAACAUAGCAAAU
Molecule: long non-coding RNA, 425 nt
Organism: Rhipicephalus microplus (southern cattle tick)
Lineage: Eukaryota; Metazoa; Arthropoda; Arachnida; Ixodida; Ixodidae
Source: RefSeq, a predicted model, not a curated record